CCAGACUCCUACGGGAGGCAGCAGUGGGGAAUAUUGCACAAUGGGGGAAACCCUGAUGCAGCGACGCCGCGUGAGUGAAGAAGUAUUUCGGUAUGUAAAGCUCUAUCAGCAGGGAAGAUAAUGACGGUACCUGACUAAGAAGCCCCGGCUAACUACGUGCCAGCAGCCGCGGUAAUACGUAGGGGGCAAGCGUUAUCCGGAUUUACUGGGUGUAAAGGGUGCGUAGGUGGCGUGGCAAGCCAGAGGUGAAAGCCGGGGCCGCACCCCCGGGCCGCCGUUGAAACUGGCAGUCUCGAGUUGGAGAGAAGUAAGCGGAAUUCGUGGUGGAGCGGUGAAAU
This 338-nucleotide ribosomal RNA is filed under the name uncultured bacterium. RNAcentral's name for it is "bacterial SSU rRNA". It matches the Rfam family "Bacterial small subunit ribosomal RNA", at positions 331 to 687 of the family's 1533-position model. The record is from RNAcentral.